This 188-nucleotide small nuclear RNA is filed under the name Erinaceus europaeus (western European hedgehog). Its description in RNAcentral is "7SK RNA". It matches the Rfam family "7SK RNA", at positions 1 to 200 of the family's 331-position model. From Rfam's summary of the family: 7SK was discovered as an abundant small nuclear RNA in the mid-70s but a possible function has only recently been suggested. Two independent studies have found that 7SK RNA binds the CDK9/cyclin T complex (known as elongation factor P-TEFb). The record is from Rfam by way of RNAcentral. Lineage: Eukaryota; Metazoa; Chordata; Mammalia; Eulipotyphla; Erinaceidae.
ACAUGUGAAGGUGAUCUGGCUUCCAUAUCUGUCACCUCAUUGAUCACCAGAGUUGAUUCUACUGAUGUGGUUGGCUAGGUGGGUGUCCCCUGUCUCCCUCAAGCUGUGUGCUCAGUUGCUGGUUGAAGAGGAAUACCAUCCCACAACAGAGACAAAAUAUUCUUCCAUCAAGAGUGGGUAUAGGAGUG